AAAACAACAAAAAAACAA
RNAcentral lists this small RNA (18 nucleotides) under Arabidopsis thaliana (thale cress). RNAcentral's name for it is "ATSL063080". Lineage: Eukaryota; Viridiplantae; Streptophyta; Magnoliopsida; Brassicales; Brassicaceae. The record is from RNAcentral.